Molecule: long non-coding RNA, 707 nt
Organism: Mus musculus (house mouse)
Lineage: Eukaryota; Metazoa; Chordata; Mammalia; Rodentia; Muridae
Product: predicted gene, 33430
Exons: 3
Source: RefSeq, a predicted model, not a curated record
UCGCUCCUAUUGUCUAGUGUUUUGUAGUCUUCCAAGUCCUUUCACACUAUUUAGCAUUGCUACACACUCACACGAGAUGAGUGCACACUGACUUGAAAAAUAAGUGAAGACAACUUCCUGAGGAUUCAAAACAGAUGCGUUCGUGCUAACCAGGCAUCUGCAUCGACAUUCUCUUACACUGUCAAAACCCGUGGAACAGUUUGUUACUGGUUUGAAGUUCUGUCUUCUGUGUUCCUGGCUUGCAGUGUUGAAAACCAGCAGGUGUGAAAACGCACCGGGGUGGAACAUCAAAAGCAAUCGCUACCUCUUAUCAUUGUGGCUUGGCAGUAAGCUCCCGGACACCCAGGAUCAUGAUGGAUAAAAUGCACGGGACAGCCGCCGUCGUCAGAGGCACCGGAUUCCAAGACUCCUCAGGAAACAGCGUACAGGAGAGCACACUGCCUACUGUAAGGUCAGCGUAAGCUCCUUGAUCAAGCCUGGUCUUGCAGAUGCUCAAAGAUGAAGAAACUGCAGACCUGCCAGGGCUACAGGCAUGGAUGAAGAUAGAAGUCCUCAGCAAACAUGACCAAGGCAAAAGAAGAAUAAUUUAAAAGGAAUAUGUGCCAUGACACAUCACAAGUGGAUGGCUCCACACCCAUGUACAUACAGGUAUCACUAAUUGGAGUGAGUUAUAAACAAACAAGAACAAAACGAAGGGAGAAAAAGAA